CCCAGACUCCUACGGGAGGCAGCAGUAGGGAAUCUUCCACAAUGGGCGAAAGCCUGAUGGAGCAACGCCGCGUGAGUGAAGAAGGUUUUCGGAUCGUAAAACUCUGUUGUAAGGGAAGAACAAGUACAGUAGUAACUGGCUGUACCUUGACGGUACCUUAUGAGAAAGCCACGGCUAACUACGUGCCAGCAGCCGCGGUAAUACGUAGGUGGCAAGCGUUGUCCGGAAUUAUUGGGCGUAAAGCGCGCGCAGGCGGUCCUUUAAGUCUGAUGUGAAAGCCCACGGCUCAACCGUGGAGGGUCAUUGGAAACUGGGGGACUUGAGUGCAGAAGAGGAAAGUGGAAUUCCAAGUGUAGCGGUGAAAUGCGUAGAGAUUUGGAGGAACACCAGUGGCGAAGGCGACUUCUCUGGUCUGUAACUGACGCUGAGGCGCGAAAGCGUGGGGAGCAAACAGGUAUUAGAUACCCUGGUAGUCCACGCCGUAAACGAUGASUGYUAAGUGUUAGGGGGUUUCCGCCCCUUAGUGCUGCAGCUAACGCAUUAAGCACUCCGCCUGGGGAGUACGGUCGCAAGACUGAAACUCAAAGGAAUUGACGGGGGCCCGCACAAGCGGUGGAGCAUGUGGUUUAAUUCGAAGCAACGCGAAGAACCUUACCAGGUCUUGACAUCCCGUUGACCACUGUAGAGAUAUAGUUCCCCCUUCGGGGGCAACGGUGACAGGUGGUGCAUGGUUGUCGUCAGCUCGUGUCGUGAGAUGUUGGGUUAAGUCCCGCAACGAGCGCAACCCUUGAUCUUAGUUGCCAUCAUUUAGUUGGGCACUCUAAGGUGACUGCCGGUGACAAACCGGAGGAAGGUGGGGAUGACGUCAAAUCAUCAUGCCCCUUAUGACCUGGGCUACACACGUGCUACAAUGGACGAUACAAACGGU
Molecule: ribosomal RNA, 928 nt
Filed under: Lysinibacillus xylanilyticus
Lineage: Bacteria; Bacillati; Bacillota; Bacilli; Caryophanales; Bacillaceae
Description: bacterial SSU rRNA
Rfam family: Bacterial small subunit ribosomal RNA
Source: RNAcentral